This 72-nucleotide transfer RNA is filed under the name Armatimonadota bacterium. Its description in RNAcentral is "Armatimonadetes bacterium (glacier metagenome) tRNA-Trp". It matches the Rfam family "tRNA". From Rfam's summary of the family: Transfer RNA (tRNA) molecules are approximately 80 nucleotides in length. Their secondary structure includes four short double-helical elements and three loops (D, anti-codon, and T loops). Lineage: Bacteria; Bacillati; Armatimonadota. The record is from RNAcentral.
GAGGGUGUGGCGCAACGGUAGCGCAGUGGAUUCCAAACCCACCGGCUGCAGGUUCAAAUCCUGUCACCCUUG